AUGGCGGAGAUUGGUUCUGGGAGUGGAUCGGGAGAUCGUAUCCCUGAAGAAGCGGCAACCCUGCUGGAGAGAUUGAACCUCCAGGAUGAGGAGGUGGAUGAUCUAGUCUGGGAAGAUGAAGCUGACGUUGAGGAAAUUAAGCCAAAGUGGCUAGCCCUAGGGCGGCUGUUGACAACCAAAAGCUUCAGUCAGAGCGCGUUGAUUGCGGACAUGAAGGCGGCCUGGAACGCAGCGCAUCAGGUGGUUUGGAGGAGAAUCAAUACAAAUCUGUUUUCAAUUCAAUUCAACUGCCUGGGGGAAUGG
RNAcentral lists this ribosomal RNA (303 nucleotides) under Triticum aestivum (bread wheat). Its description in RNAcentral is "partial small subunit ribosomal RNA". The record is from RNAcentral. Lineage: Eukaryota; Viridiplantae; Streptophyta; Magnoliopsida; Poales; Poaceae.